GUGAAAGGGCAAAUUAAAGAAUGAACUUCAGACCUCAUGGUCCAUAUUAAAGAUAGGACACUGGGAACGUACUACAAAGGUGAGUUAGCUCGAUUUGUUGAGAGAGAGCAGGAAGAUCAAGGUGAACUUACACCUCCAUGUAAGUCAGUUUCACUUCCCUAUAUUCUCCAACCGUUGACAGCACCCCUAAAUCCAACCAGCCAUUUUAGAAAUAGUGCUCUCUUGAACAAUAGAGAAACGUAGUGAGAAUCAGUGAAUGGCUCAGGGCAGAUCUUCCCUCUAAGUGGAAAAAACCAAUGGCCUUUAUGUAUGAGGGAUGGCAGAGUUCCACCAUAGUACCUUUGGUUCUUCUAUCAGUUAACCAGGAAAACAAAAAUUUGCCUUUUCACAACGGACAAUCCAGUAAGAAUUUAACACAUAGGCUGCUUCUUCUUUCUCUUUGGUUUUGCUUGGGUUUCCACAAAUAAUCAGUGUGGUAUGAAGAGGCUAUCCAAAAACUAUCCUCAGAGUUUACUCUUGGUUUCCCAAACAAGGAGCCAGUGUAGUCCAGGGGCUCCCCCUCUCCCAGUGGGAGAGCCUGCACUAAGAUUCACUUUCCACAGCAGUGCCCCAGCCUUGAGAGUACCUGAUCCUUGGCAGCUGGCUUUCUAGAAGACCUCCUAAAAGAAAAGCUGACUCCUAUUUCCAGACUGACCAGUGCCCAAAUAGACUAUUUUUCCCUCCACUGACAAAGGGACUAUCCCUGUUACCUAUGGAAAGGGGACACAACAGGGUGUUAUGUUCCUAUCCUGGAACACAAACUCAUCAUGAGCCCAGGAAUCCUCUCUAUGAAUGAAAGGCGUAUGGGACUCCUGUCUUCUCUUGCCAACCCUCGUAGUUUAUCUCUGCCCAGCUUUCUGGUCCACCUAUGGGCAGCUGGCAAACCCACAAGAGCCUCACUCAUGUGUCUGAGUGUUAGCUGGCUUUUGACUGGCGUACACCUCAGUUCUCCUCCACAUGGCCUCUCACUCUCCACUAAGCCUGUGGAUUAUUUUGCUAGGGCUGCCGUAACAAAAUACCAGAGACUGGGGGGCUUAAGCAACAGACGUUUAUUUAUUCAUUCCCAAUUCUGGAGGCUAAAAAUCCAAGCUCAAGGUGGCAGCAGGUUUGGUGUCUUCUGAGGGCCUCUGUCCUUGGCUGAUAGAUGGCCAUCUUGUCCCUGUCUUCCCGUGGUCUCCCCUCUGUGUGUGUCCAUAUCCUAAUCUACUCUUCUUAUAAGGACCCCAGUCCCUCUAGACUAGAGCCCACGCUAGUCAUCUUAUUUAACUUUAAUUACUACUUUAAAGACUCUAUCUCCAAAUCUAAUCCCAUUCUGAGGCAUUGGAGGUUAGGACUUCAACAGAUGAAGUUGGGUAGAGGGACACAAUUCAUCCCGUAACAGCUUACAUGUGCUCAUUCAUCUCAUGGUCUCAGGGUUCCAAGCACAGCAAGAGAAAAAGUGCUCUUUAAACCUCUGCAUGCGUUGCAUUGCUUAAGUAUCAUGAGCCCAAGGUGGUCUCAAGGCCAGAGUCAGGGUAGGGUGGCACUAUCAAAGGACUGGGAUAGAGGAAGGAGGGGAAUGAUCUGUGGCCAUUUUUGCAGUCCACCACAUGUUGUGAUGGAAAUAGAUAAGAGCUGGGCUACUCCAGCCCCUGGAGCACUUCAGCCUGGUACAGGUAGAGUUCAGAUACCUCUUCGUAGAGAAAGAACUUCUAGUAUAAUGAAAUUCAUCCUAGUAGGUUAUGACAUAUUAUAGUGUCAGCAUGAAAAGUCACACAAUUCCCUCAUAAAAUGAGAAAAGCGAUCCCCACCCUUCUUUUCCUCACACAGACCUAAUGAGAUCAGAUGUGAAAACUCCUUGGAAGAAAUAUGUUCUUAUGUUCUAUCAUCCAUCAGUCUCCUUCAGUGAUGUAUGUAUUAUACUGACCAAAUUUGGGGUAUCUGAAUCCAAAUAAUAUAGCUGUUUAAAUCAACAGCAAGUCAUUUAAUAGAGAGAUGUACUUUAUGAAUUUGU
Molecule: non-coding RNA, 2032 nt
Organism: Callorhinus ursinus (northern fur seal)
Lineage: Eukaryota; Metazoa; Chordata; Mammalia; Carnivora; Otariidae
Source: RefSeq, a predicted model, not a curated record